RNAcentral lists this ribosomal RNA (1402 nucleotides) under metagenome. RNAcentral's name for it is "bacterial LSU rRNA". It matches the Rfam family "Bacterial large subunit ribosomal RNA", at positions 1443 to 2925 of the family's 2925-position model. The record is from RNAcentral.
CCACCGAAAGAUUUAAGUACAGGGACGCUUUAGAAGUGAUGUUGCCGGGCGAUGGUUGACCCGGUCGUAAGGGAUCGAAAAUGAGUAGAGAAGUCAUCAUGGAAAGAGACAAGAAAAGCUGUAUGAAUAUCUUAGGUGCCCGUACCGCAAACCGACACAGGUAGAUAGGAAGAAGAUUCUAAGGCCAACGGGAGAAGGGUUGUUAAGGAACUCGGCAAGUUGACCCCGUAACUUAGGGAUAAGGGGUGCUCAAGUGAUUGAGCCGCAGAGAAUAGGCCCAGGCGACUGUUUAGCAAAACACAGGUCUCUGCUAAAUCGAAAGAUGACGUAUAGGGGCUGACACCUGCCCGGUGCCGGAAGGUUAAGAGGAGAUGUGAGAGCAUUGAAUUGAAGCCCCGGUAAACGGCGGCCGUAACAAUAACGGUCCUAAGGUAGCGAAAUUCCUUGUCAGGUAAGUUCUGACCCGCACGAAAGGUGUAACGAUCUGGGCACUGUCUCAACAACCCGCCCGGCGAAAUUGUAGUACCGGUGAAGAUGCCGGUUACCCGCGACUAGACGGAAAGACCCCAUGGAGCUUUACUGUAGCCUAAUAUUGGAUUUCGGUAUUUCACGUACAGGAUAGGUGGGAGACUGGGAAGCACAGGCGUCAGCUUGUGUGGAGUCGACCUUGGGAUACCACUCUUGGAGUGCUGGAAUUCUAACCUGCGGCUUUGAAGCAAGUCGGGGGACAUUGUUAGGUGGGCAGUUUGACUGGGGCGAUCGCCUCCUAAAGAGUAACGGAGGCGCUCAAAGGUUCGCUCUGCAUGGAUGGAAACCAUGCGUCAGAGUGUAAACGCAAAAGCGAGCCUAACUGCGAGAAUGACGGUUCGAGCAGUAACGAAAGUUGGAGUUAGUGAUCCGGCGGUAUGUGAAUGGAAAUGCCGUCGCUCAACGGAUAAAAGCUACCCUGGGGAUAACAGGCUGAUCUCCCCCAAGAGUCCACAUCGACGGGGAGGUUUGGCACCUCGAUGUCGGCUCAUCGCAUCCUGGGGCUGAAUUCGGUCCCAAGGGUUUGGCUGUUCGCCGAUUAAAGCGGUACGCGAGCUGGGUUCAGAACGUCGUGAGACAGUUCGGUCCCUAUCUGUCGUGGGCGUAGGAUAUUUGCAAGGAGCUGUCCCUAGUACGAGAGGACCGGGAUGGACGCACCUCUGGUGCACCAGUUGUCACGCCAGUGGCACAGCUGGGCAGCUAUGUGCGGAACGGAUAAACGCUGAAGGCAUCUAAGCGUGAAGCCGCCCUUAAGAUAAGAUAUCCCUUCUGUUUACAGAGUAAGACCCCUUGAAGACUACAAGGUUGAUAGGCUCAAAGUGUAAGCACGGUGACGUGUUUAGCUAGCGAGUACUAAUCGGUCGAGGGCUUAACC